CCUACGGGUGGCAGCAGUCGAGAAUCAUUCACAAUGGGGGAAACCCUGAUGGUGCGACGCCGCGUGGGGGAAUGAAGGUCUUCGGAUUGUAAACCCCUGUCAUGUGGGAGCAAAUUAAAAAGAUAGUACCACAAGAGGAAGAGACGGCUAACUCUGUGCCAGCAGCCGCGGUAAUACAGAGGUCUCAAGCGUUGUUCGGAAUCACUGGGCGUAAGGCGUGCGGAGGCUGUUUCGUAAGUCGGGUGUGAAAGGCGCGGGCUCAACCCGCGGACGGCACAUGAUACUGCGAGACUAGAGUAAUGGAGGGGGAACCGGAAUUCUCGGUGUAGCAGUGAAAUGCGUAGAUAUCGAGAGGAACACUCGUGGCGAAGGCGGGUGCCUGGACAUUAACUGACGCUGAGGCACGAAGGCCAGGGGAGCGAAAGGGAUUAGAUACCCCUGUAGUC
RNAcentral lists this ribosomal RNA (446 nucleotides) under uncultured bacterium. RNAcentral describes it as "partial 16S ribosomal RNA". It matches the Rfam family "Bacterial small subunit ribosomal RNA", at positions 338 to 795 of the family's 1533-position model. The record is from RNAcentral.